UACGUAGGGGGCGAGCGUUAUCCGGAAUUAUUGGGCGUAAAGGGUGCGUAGGCGGCCUUGUAAGUCAGGUGUGAAAGGCUACGGCUCAACCGUAGUUAGCACUUGAAACUGCAGGGCUUGAGUGCAGGAGAGGAGAGUGGAAUUCCUAGUGUAGCGGUGAAAUGCGUAGAUAUUAGGAGGAACACCAGUGGCGAAGGCGACUCUCUGGACUGUAACUGACGCUGAGGCACGAAAGCGUGGGGAGCGAACAGGAUUAGAUACCCUGGUAGUCCACGCCGUAAACGAUGAGUACUAGGUGUUGGGGUCGACAGGCUUCAGUGCCGCAGUUAACACAUUAAGUACUCCGCCUGGGGAGUACGGUCGCAAGACUGAA
Molecule: ribosomal RNA, 373 nt
Filed under: uncultured bacterium
Lineage: Bacteria
Description: bacterial SSU rRNA
Rfam family: Bacterial small subunit ribosomal RNA
Source: RNAcentral